This is a long non-coding RNA of Dendrobium catenatum, 1325 nucleotides long. RefSeq lists it as uncharacterized. The record is from RefSeq and is a predicted model, not a curated record. The transcript is spliced from 2 exons. Lineage: Eukaryota; Viridiplantae; Streptophyta; Magnoliopsida; Asparagales; Orchidaceae.
UCAAACUUAAUUUAAUCGUUCACUUACUCUUUAUUCCACUUUUAGAAGAAAAGAAUUCCUGAAUUCUUUCCUCUUUCUCUCAAAAUAUCUUCCUUUCCACUUUCAAUAUCUUCCUUUGCCUUCAAUUAAAUAUCCCUCACUGGUUAGAUGAAGAAAUAUGGAAGGAUUUAUACAUAAAUGGGAAAAAUCAACAAACCUUCUUCUUUCUUCCUCUUAACUGUUCCUCUCGCUAGAAACUCUCCCUCUCGCGAUUUCUUCUCCAGGAACAAAUGGAAGGAAUCUUUCUCACGUGAGAAGUAGUUAAUUUACUCACAUGUACGUGAUCAUUCGCUCAAAACCGCAAACCAACUCGCUUGGAUCACGUAUGCAUGAGGGCGGCUUCGCCUGGGUCACGAUUUCCAUCUGCUCCGUCUCUGUUUCGUUCGUGGCACGUUUUAAUUAGAAGUUGACCUGCUCAAUCAAACCGACAAGUCUAAACCGGUUCAUUACAACAUGUUUGUUGUGAAGAGCAGUAGGGAAUACUAACAUUGGCAGACGUUGAACAACAUCGAUUUUAAUAAGCUACAAACCAUGUAGACUGGGACUUUGGAGAAGAGUCUUGUUGUUCAUAGAGUCUUUAAUAGGAAAGCUAGAAGCAUCAAAGAUAAUAUAGCAUGGAUUAUCAGAUGUUAAUUUGUGGGUUGAGAGUAAAUUAUGAGAAAGACGAGGAACAUGUAAAAUAGUAGGAAGUUGCAGCUUAUGUGAUCGUGUUGGUAAAAUACCCUAACCAGAAUUUGAUAAUUGAUAAUAAUUUCUCAUUACCAGCCUGAACUUCAGAGGAUCCAGUGUAGGGUUGGGAAGCUUGAGGUUGAGCUGAGUUGGAGGAGAGAUGAAAGGAUGCACCUCAAUCCAAAAACCAAUCAGCUGUAGAGGAAGCUUCUUGGGAGAUAUAGGCGUGCUGGGAGGAUUGAAAUGAGAGAUCAGUUUGAUGCCAGUAUUAAAGCGCAAAGUGGCCAAAUUUGUCAUAAAUAUGACAUUCAAUGGAGGAACGUGAUCAAUGACCUCCUCGAGCAGUAGAAAAUGACAUUCGACCACAGCGAGCAGACGCAAGGUGACCACGACCAGGAGCAGGAAGAAAUCUACAACCACACGAAUGACCACAAACAAUUGUUAAAGCAAAUGUUGUAUCAAUAAGCAUUGGAGAUGAGUUUUCAUGAGCUUUGUUGGCAGCAAUAUUAAGCUCCUUGCUACAGAGAUUGAACAAUGAAUUUCUCCUCCAUUUGUCUCCUUCAUUUGUAGCCGAUGAAGUUCAUUUUCAAUUGGAGAAUGCGAGAGCGAUUUGUAUA